ACCAUCUCCUUUGAGUGGAUCCACAGUCCUGUGUCUGCUGAAAAUUGUGACAUAUUUGACCCUGUUAUGGAGAGCCAGGGUGUUGCAAUGUGCAGCUCGCUCCGAGGGGCUGUCUGCCAGUUUAAGAAAGAAGGGCUGGAUAUUUUCAGUUUACCAGACACACCAUUCUUUAGCAGGCUGAACAAGGAUCCUGUGAUGAAGGAGCUGAGUGGCAACACCUCCUUGCACAGAGACCUGAUCUUUCUGGAGUACCUGAUACAGGCUGUGUUAGAAGCAGUGGAACCCAGUGACCCUCACCUCCUAACCUCCACUGAUGUUCUCUACUUCUCCAAGAUGACUGAUAUGAUUUCACAAGCAGGCCAUUCUGCAGCAGGAAAUUAUGCAGAACAGGUUAUGUCCAUUGCCACCAACUAUGUGAAUGCUGCAAGUUUGAUGUUGGAGCCACACAUGGCUACACAGUGGAUGGGUCUGACAAAGGAUGGGGUCAACGUUGGACCAUUUACUAUUGUCGAGAGCAUUGAUACUCUCACUAAAGCUCUUGCAGAUUUGCUGUCAGUCGAAGGAAAAGGCUUUACUCUUUCUACCAAGAACAUAGAUGUGUUCAUGAAGUUACACAAACUGUCUCAAGAGAGCUGUAAUCAAGUCUUCAAGCCAUCCGCAGUCAGAUUACAUAAGUCCAGCCACAGUAGUCUUGAUGAGUUGCUUAUCCCUGACACUGAGCUCCGAAGGAUACAUGCACUAGGUAGGUAGCACACACACUUGA
Long non-coding RNA from Parambassis ranga (Indian glassy fish), 763 nucleotides. NCBI's taxonomy places the organism in Eukaryota, Metazoa, Chordata, Actinopteri, Ambassidae. The record is from Ensembl.